UACGGGGGGGGCAAGCGUUGUUCGGAAUUACUGGGCGUAAAGGGCUCGUAGGCGGCCAACUAAGUCAGACGUGAAAUCCCUCGGCUUAACCGGGGAACUGCGUCUGAUACUGGAUGGCUUGAGUUUGGGAGAGGAAAGCGGAAUUCCUGGUGUAGAGGUGAAAUUCGUAGAUAUCAGGAGGAACACCGGUGGCGAAGGCGGCUUUCUGGACACUAACUGACGCUGAGACGCGAAAGCGUGGGGAGCAAACAGG
This 253-nucleotide ribosomal RNA is filed under the name uncultured bacterium. Its description in RNAcentral is "partial 16S ribosomal RNA". It matches the Rfam family "Bacterial small subunit ribosomal RNA", at positions 524 to 776 of the family's 1533-position model. The record is from RNAcentral.